This is a long non-coding RNA of Xiphophorus couchianus (Monterrey platyfish), 261 nucleotides long. RefSeq lists it as uncharacterized. NCBI's taxonomy places the organism in Eukaryota, Metazoa, Chordata, Actinopteri, Cyprinodontiformes, Poeciliidae. The record is from RefSeq and is a predicted model, not a curated record. The transcript is spliced from 3 exons.
ACAAGACACAAGAAAAAUAAGUUAAUACAUUAAGUAAACUAAGUAAGUAAACUUUAUUUCUAUAGUGCUUUUCACAGACCAGGGUCACAAAGUGCUGCACAAAGUGUAAAUAAAAUAAUUAAAUAAUUAAAAGCAACAUACAAAACAAUAAAACACAGUAUUAAGCUAAAAAGCAAGUUUAAAAAAGUGGAUCUUAAGUUGUUUCCUAAAAGUGUCUAUACAAUCCAGAGAUCGAAUGGUACAAGUGAUUAGUCAGCCCCG